Molecule: long non-coding RNA, 1360 nt
Filed under: Olea europaea (common olive)
Lineage: Eukaryota; Viridiplantae; Streptophyta; Magnoliopsida; Lamiales; Oleaceae
Description: long non-coding RNA (OEUR_LNC012468)
Source: RNAcentral
AAACUCAAUGUGUAAGUUAAUGAAUUUGUUGACAAUGCUGAAAUUAAUUUAUCCAGAGCAGUAUAUUGAUGAAGCCUCUACAUUCUAACGAUGUGAUGGUAUGGCCUCUACUAAGUUGACCGAACCACUUUUGCUAUUUAUUCACAAAAUUUUAAGUUUUGACUUGUUCAAGUUUACGAGUUAGGGAACUAUCAUGUUAAUGUUAGGGGCUUAUUAACUUUAAUUCAUGACUUUUAGUUCUCAAUUAGCCAGACUUCAAGAUCACAAGGAGCCACGCAUUAAGACGUUAUGUUUCCCUAAUGAAUGUGGUUUUUGAUCUUUGCUUAUAUAUUAUUGACUUUAUAGUUUCUUCUAGUUUGUUAUACAUUCACUCAUUCAUUUUUCCCUAACAAGAGAAGUCUCUACCUAAAUUCUGGCGAGAUCGACACGUAAGAUUCUCUAUUGUUUAUUUCUUUUGUUUUUUGGCAUGGCCUUCACUAAGUCGAUCGAACCACUUUUGCCGUUUAUUCACAAAAUCUUAAGUUUUGACUUGUUCAAGUUUACAAGUUAGGGAACUAUUAUGUCAAUGUUAGGGGCCUUUUAACUUUAAUUCAUGUGUAGAGGUUUGCUACUUUUAGUUCUCAAUUAGCCAGACUUCAUGAUCAUAAAAAGCUAUGCAUUAAGACAUUAUGUUUCCCUAAUGAUGUGUUUUCGAUCUAUAGGUUGCCUAUAUAUUGUUGACUAUAUAGUUUCUUCUAAUUUGUUAUGCAUUCACUCAUUAAUUUUUCCUAACAAAGGAAAUCUCUACCUAAACUUUGGCAAGAUCGACAAGAUUUUCUAUUGUUUAUUUCUUUUGUUUUCCAGCAUGGCCUUUACUAAGUUGACCGACCACUUUUGCCGUUUAUUCACAAAAUUUUAAGUUGUGACUUGCUCUGGUUUCCGAGUUAGGGAAAUAUCAUGUCAACCAUAGGGGCUUAUUAACCUUAUUUUAUGUGUAGAGGUUUGCUACUUUUAGUUCUCAAUUAGCCAGACUUCAUGAUCAUAGGGAGCUAUACAUUAACACAUUAUGUUUCCCUAACGAAUGUAGUUUUUGAUCUAUCGAUUGCCUAUAUAUAGUUGACCGUAUAUUUUCUCUUCUAGUAUGCUAUGCAUUUACUCAUUCAUUUUUCCCUAACAGAGAAAGCCUCUAUUUGAAUUUUGGUGAGAUCCACACGUAAGAUUCUCUGUUGUUUAUUUCUUUUGUUUUCCUACAUGGCCUUCACGAAGUCGAUCGAACCACUUUUGCCUUUUAUUCACAAAAUUUUAAGUUUUGAUUUGUUCGGAUUUACAAGUUAGAGAACUAUCAUGUCAAUGUUAGGAGUUUGUUAACCUUAAUUCAUGC